This 253-nucleotide ribosomal RNA is filed under the name uncultured bacterium. RNAcentral's name for it is "partial 16S ribosomal RNA". It matches the Rfam family "Bacterial small subunit ribosomal RNA", at positions 524 to 776 of the family's 1533-position model. The record is from RNAcentral.
UACGUAGGGGGCAAGCGUUGUCCGGAUUUAUUGGGCGUAAAGAGCGUGUAGGCGGUCAGGUAGGUCCGUUGUGAAAACUCGAGGCUCAACCUCGAGACGCCGAUGGAAACCAUCUGACUAGAGUCCGGAAGAGGAGAGUGGAAUUCCGAGUGUAGAGGUGAAAUUCGUAGAUAUUCGGAAGAACACCAGUGGCGAAGGCGACUUACUGGACACAUAUUGACGCUGAGGUGCGAAAGCGUGGGGAGCAAACAGG